GACGAACGCUGGCGGCGUGCUUAACACAUGCAAGUCGAACGGGCCCGCUCUCUUUUUUGGGGGUGGGUUGAGUGGCGAACGGGUGAGUAUCACGUGAGUAACCUGCCCCCUGCUCCUGGAUAACUGCUUGAAAGGGCGGCUAAUACGGGGUGUGCCGGCUGGUCCGCAUGGGCCUGGUCGGGAUAGUUUCAUCUUCGGGUGUUUCGGUGGGGGAUGGGCUCGCGGCCGAUCAGCUUGUUGGUGGGGUGGUGGCCCACCAAGGCGGUGACGGGUAGCGGGCCUGAGAGGGUGGCCGGCCACACGGGGACUGAGACACGGCCCAGACUCCUGCGGGAGGCAGCAGUGGGGGGUAUUGCACAAUGGGCGGAAGCCUGAUGCAGCGACGUCGCGUGAGGGAUGGAGGCCUUCGGGUUGUGAACCUCUUUCUCCGGUGGUGAAGGCCCUGUCCGUUGCGGCGGGGUUGACGGUAGCCGGGUAUGAAGCGCCGGCUAACUACGUG
Molecule: ribosomal RNA, 499 nt
Filed under: uncultured bacterium
Lineage: Bacteria
Description: partial 16S ribosomal RNA
Rfam family: Bacterial small subunit ribosomal RNA
Source: RNAcentral